Bactrocera tryoni is the source of this 1075-nucleotide long non-coding RNA. RefSeq lists it as uncharacterized. The transcript has 2 exons. The record is from RefSeq and is a predicted model, not a curated record. Lineage: Eukaryota; Metazoa; Arthropoda; Insecta; Diptera; Tephritidae.
UAGUGAGACAAACGUAACUGUUCUAGACGACAAAGAGCUAGAAAAUUAGCGCAAAAUCUUUGGUUUUCUAAUUUAAUUGGCAAAUUUCGUGGCGACAUAUUGCCACACACACAUAAAUACAUACAUAAGUCGUGCUGCAGCGAACGCCGAGAACUUACCGAACGCCCGCUAUCAAUUGAAAGCCACAACGGUCGGUCAUUUACAUGCGAUACUUUAUGGAAUAAUUGCAGAGGUUUCGAAGUGCAAGCGGCUGAUAAAAAGCGCAUACACAGAACGAGCGGAAAGUUAGCUGAAUUUAAGAAAAAUAAAGAGACACACGCACACAAACACAUAGACUUUCACACUUUCUUGUGCUGAGAAUAUACUUAUAUAAAAUAUAUGAAAUUAAUAUACGCAAAAACAAAAACAAUAAACGAGUGGCAACAAAAAAUUCUUUCAUCGUGACUGAAUUUCGCGAAAUCCAAUCAACUGUGCCCCCUCCGCCCAACCUCCUUGCCUGCCAGAACAAAAUCAGUAAAUCAGGCUAAUCUGCGGGUCGCCACGUUUAGUGGUCUGUUAGCUCAUCGAAAUUUUGGUGUUCGAGACGAGUGGUAUAAAAUCGCUGCGCUUGGCCGUUAGGCUUUCACAAAAGCAAUAAAAGAACUCCGCGCAGCAGUAGCCACAAGCGAGCCAAAGGAAACGUAGUUAGAGUCAAUAUAAGUAAAAAAAAAUUAAUUGAAAUUUCAAAAGUGUUUUGAGUGGUGUUAAGUGAAAUUGCAGUAACUUUCUAAAUUAAUGGAAAUCCCAUUUGCGCGGCCAUACAAAUUGAUUUUGGCACAAAUAAAAUAUCUGAAAUUGCCAGCAACGCGCGCCCAACAUAGCGAGUGAUGAAACUUUAGAAAAUUCAGAAGUCGAAAAUCAAAUAGCGAACAGCAAAUAAAACACUACAACAAGUCGAAUUCGCGCUGAAUUACAACAAAUCUGUUACAAGUGUGGAGAGCACGUGGAAAUCGUGAAAACUUUCAAAAAACGCGGAGAUCGUUCCUACCUAACCCAAAACAGCAGUAUUUUAGCUUUUACACGAUAAAAUAAAAAA